This 468-nucleotide ribosomal RNA is filed under the name uncultured bacterium. Its description in RNAcentral is "partial 16S ribosomal RNA". It matches the Rfam family "Bacterial small subunit ribosomal RNA", at positions 28 to 507 of the family's 1533-position model. The record is from RNAcentral.
GACGAACGAUGGCGGAGGGGGGAACACAUGCAAGUCGAACGGAAAGGCCCUGCUUUUGUGGGGUGCUCGAGUGGCGAACGGGUGAGUAACACGUGAGUAACCUGCCCUUGACUUUGGGAUAACUUCAGGAAACUGGGGCUAAUACCGGAUAGGAGCUCCUGCUGCAUGGUGGGGGUUGGAAAGUUUCGGCGGUUGGGGAUGGACUCGCGGCUUAUCAGCUUGUUGGUGGGGUAGUGGCUUACCAAGGCUUUGACGGGUAGCCGGCCUGAGAGGGUGACCGGCCACAUUGGGACUGAGAUACGGCCCAGACUCCUACGGGAGGCAGCAGUGGGGAAUAUUGCACAAUGGGCGGAAGCCUGAUGCAGCAACGCCGCGUGCGGGAUGACGGCCUUCGGGUUGUAAACCGCUUUCGCCUGUGACGAAGCGUGAGUGACGGUAAUGGGUAAAGAAGCACCGGCUAACUACGUG